RNAcentral lists this ribosomal RNA (494 nucleotides) under uncultured bacterium. RNAcentral's name for it is "partial 16S ribosomal RNA". It matches the Rfam family "Bacterial small subunit ribosomal RNA", at positions 28 to 507 of the family's 1533-position model. The record is from RNAcentral.
GACGAACGCUGGCGGCGCGCUUAACACAUGCAAGUCGAACGGAAAGGCCUGCUUUCCCUUGUGGAUUGCGGGUACUCGAGUGGCGAACGGGUGAGUAACACGUGAGUGAUCUGCCCCCAACUUGGGUAUAAGCCUGGGAAACUGGGUCUAAUUCCCGAUAGGACUGCAGGGUGGUGCCUGUGGUGGAAAACGAUUUUCUAGUGGUUGGGGAUGAGCUCGCGGCCUAUCAGCUUGUUGGUGGGGUAAUGGCCUACCAAGGCGGCGACGGGUAGCCGGCCUGAGAGGGUGGACAGCCACAUUGGGACUGAGAUACGGCCCAGACGCCUACGAGAGGCAGCAGUGGGGAAUAUUGCACAAUGGGCGGAAGCCUGAUGCAGCGACGCCGCGUGGGGGAUGACGGCCUUCGGGUUGUAAACUCCUUUCGACCGCGAGGAAGCCACCUGGUUGGAAGGGUGGUGACGGUAGUGGUAGAAGAAGCACCGGCUAACUACGUG